Molecule: transfer RNA, 67 nt
Filed under: Dosidicus gigas (jumbo flying squid)
Lineage: Eukaryota; Metazoa; Mollusca; Cephalopoda; Oegopsida; Ommastrephidae
Description: tRNA-Cys
Source: RNAcentral
GGUCUUGUAGUUUUAUUUAAAAUAUUAAGUUGCAAACUUUAAGAAACAUGUGGUAUUGUCGGGACUU